UGCCAAUCAAAAAAAAAAAAAAAAAGAUUUUGGAUGGAGGGUGCAAAUAUCUGAUAAAUGCUAGAAUUUUGGAAAGAGCUCUAUCAAGAGACAAAGGCACGGGUGGAUGGAAGCAGGAGAGAAGAAAAGCAAAAAUAGCAGGAGCAAAGCUAGCUUCACAGAUUUUCUGAAAUAUGACAGAAAUUGUCUUACAUGUAUUGUCACGUUUCGUUCUCCCACUAGUCAUCUAUUUACUGAUUUAUAUAUUCAACAAUUACUGAGAGCACAAUAAUGGUCUAGAUACUACUCCAGGUACAAGGGCCAAAGAACCGACUAAAGUACAGGCCUCGCCCACAGAGUCCCCCUAGAAAUUUAGUCAUGUUUGUGAAUUUCUCCAGUUUGAUGUGUUCGUGAAACCUGAGGACUGCUGGUUUGGAAGUUGGUUGAACUGCUCUCUGGUGCAAACCUCCACUGCCUGUGACACUAGCAUCACUACGAGGGACCUUCCAUAUAGAGCAUACAGGAGCGCCCCACUCACCUCCACGCAGUGCUAGUGUCCCGUUGCUCCCGGCUCUCCUAGAGUGCCCAGACUGAAGGGUCUCUUGCCCCUUUUACCCCCACCAUCCUGUUUAUGUCACAGAAAUCCGCACGAAAUUAUUAACACUUCCUGGACAGCCUGCUCCAGUCUCUUGGUUCCCCUCUGACAAUCACAGGGUGAAAAUAAUGAUGAUGCUUAACCACAAUUUUUAAAUUCAUAGUUCUUUUAUAAUUAGCUUCAUUUUAGUCUCACAACUCAAAAAAAAAUUUAAAACAAGGUGCCCCGGGUCCUACUGUGUAGGCUCAAAUCAAGAUAGUUUAAGUAGUCUCCUCGCUGUCUUGCAGAAAAUGAGAAGCCAAAGUGGGUUUGAAACCAUUUCUAGGUGACUCCCUGGUUCGUUGUCCCUCUACCACUUCCAGGGAGCCUGGUCUCAAUGGCAGAGAGUAAUGAAAAGCAAGUCGAUCCACGGCACACUCCAGGGCCCUCCCAACUACAUAAAGGGUGUGUUCAGAAUGGAAGCCAUCCUCCUUGAACUCUUGGCCUUAGGAAGUGAAUUGUUUGCAGGAGUGACUCGCACUGUCACCCAGUGCCACCAUCUCGUUCUCAUUGCAAGCACUGCUGUGGCUUCUUGGGUUCCCCAAGAGAGAGGAGGGACUGAAGAUUCCUGGACACCCUGACACAACUCCUAAGCCACCUGCACAGACUCUUAAAAUACAGCUAGUUCUCAAGGAGCCGCAGUUCUCAAGCAUUUGUACCCUUGGACUCCAGAAGCUAAGGGAACCAUGCCAGGACUCAGCAAUUCCUCAUGGGCAACUUGAGGUGGGAGCUGGCAGGGGACCAGUGUCGGAGAGAUUCCCGCCUGGACCCUCUGUGGUAGCUCUGCAAACACAGGUGCUCAACUGACUUUUCUUGAUGGGGCUUUGCUCCAGGAUUUCCUUGCAAUCAUGUGUGUGUGGAAUCAUUCACGGAAGGCAGGGAGUGCAGCACGGUUGAGGGUGUGGACAUCAGGCUGGGAAGCAGACAUGGAUGGGCAGCUCCGAGAGCGGCCACAGCUCGGGUAGACUGCAGCUACCAUAGAGCUGGAUCUGAGCAGAGGGCCAAGGCCAAAGAGCAGCAAGACCAAGAGGAGCUGGUCCUGCCUGGCCCGGACUCCAGGGUGACCUUCCCCCUCUUCUGACCCCUAAGUUAUAACUGGUUAGCUGAAGGCCAUAUUUAGGCCCAACUGGUAGAAUAGACGCUAAGUAGAACUGGGGUACCUUGGCUGCUCUUAGGUUGCUGGGACUAAUGCUGCUGAGAAGUCUGACAUGGCAAUUGUCGGGGGACACGUCAAGGGUGAGGCCCUAUGGAUGGCCCCCCAGCUCUACCACAAAUGAUAGCAAAGGCUGAGGAAGUCCACGCACCAUGCUAGGGAAGGCCUAGAAUAUCCAACUAUAUCAUCUCAAGUGCUAUUUAAAUAAAGGAUAGCUGCUGUUCAUAGGUUUCUGACCACCAGACCUGCAAAACAAUUUCAGCCAUGAACUUCCCACUCUGUAACACAUAGUUUUGCUGUGUUCUAUUUGUAUCCCUAGGAAACCUCAGGAAAUUAAUUUGAAAUCACAUUUUUUUAAAAAACAAUUGUUUUAGUGAG
RNAcentral lists this long non-coding RNA (2144 nucleotides) under Marmota monax (woodchuck). The record is from RNAcentral. Lineage: Eukaryota; Metazoa; Chordata; Mammalia; Rodentia; Sciuridae.